RNAcentral lists this ribosomal RNA (253 nucleotides) under uncultured bacterium. RNAcentral's name for it is "partial 16S ribosomal RNA". It matches the Rfam family "Bacterial small subunit ribosomal RNA", at positions 524 to 776 of the family's 1533-position model. The record is from RNAcentral.
UACGUAGGGGGCAAGCGUUGUCCGGAAUCAUUGGGCGUAAAGAGCGUGUAGGCGGCCCGGUAAGUCCGCUGUGAAAGUCCAGGGCUCAACCCUGGGAUGCCGGUGGAUACUGUCGGGCUCGAGUCCGGAAGAGGAGUGUGGAAUUCCUGGUGUAGCGGUGAAAUGCGUAGAUAUCUGGAGGAACACCGGUGGCGAAGGCGGCAUCCUGGACCGGCAUUGACGCUGAUGAGCGAAAGCCAGGGGAGCAAACGGG